GAUGAACGCUGGCGGCGUGCCUAAUACAUGCAAGUCGAGCGAACAGACGAGGAGCUUGCUCCUCUGACGUUAGCGGCGGACGGGUGAGUAACACGUGGAUAACCUACCUAUAAGACUGGGAUAACUUCGGGAAACCGGAGCUAAUACCGGAUAAUAUAUUGAACCGCAUUGUUCAAUAGUGAAAGACGGUUUUGCUGUCACUUAUAGAUGGAUCCGCGCCGCAUUAGCUAGUUGGUACGGUAACGGCUUACCAAGGCAACGAUGCGUAGCCGACCUGAGAGGGUGAUCGGCCACACUGGAACUGAGACACGGUCCAGACUCCUACGGGAGGCAGCAGUAGGGAAUCUUCCGCAAUGGGCGAAAGCCUGACGGAGCAACGCCGCGUGAGUGAUGAAGGUCUUCGGAUCGUAAAACUCUGUUAUUAGGGAAGAACAAAUGUGUAAGUAACUAUGCACGUCUUGACGGUACCUAAUCAGAAAGCCACGGCUAACUACGUG
This 497-nucleotide ribosomal RNA is filed under the name uncultured bacterium. RNAcentral describes it as "partial 16S ribosomal RNA". It matches the Rfam family "Bacterial small subunit ribosomal RNA", at positions 28 to 507 of the family's 1533-position model. The record is from RNAcentral.